GCAGAGUCCUGCACUAAUUGGAGAUCCUGGAUCCCACUGACUCUCCUAAUUAGAAGGAACAGAAAAUGAAAGUGUGAAGCACAGAGCUGCAGCAGCCAUCUUAGGACCAUGAGGGGAGCUGACCUAUGAUAUUGAAGGGGACAGGCCAGUACACUGAAGAUGAAAUGGCAAGAACUUAAGUCCUUGAUGACCCAACUUGACUGGACAUACCCCCGGCUCCCUGCUCUUCUCGGCCCCCUGCUCUUGGCUGUCCUCAUAAUGCAGUGCAUCCUCCGUGGCUGGCCCACGGGUCUACGACGGUG
Molecule: non-coding RNA, 302 nt
Organism: Delphinapterus leucas (beluga whale)
Lineage: Eukaryota; Metazoa; Chordata; Mammalia; Artiodactyla; Monodontidae
Source: RefSeq, a predicted model, not a curated record